This 64-nucleotide transfer RNA is filed under the name Culex quinquefasciatus (southern house mosquito). It matches the Rfam family "tRNA". From Rfam's summary of the family: Transfer RNA (tRNA) molecules are approximately 80 nucleotides in length. Their secondary structure includes four short double-helical elements and three loops (D, anti-codon, and T loops). The record is from Rfam by way of RNAcentral. Lineage: Eukaryota; Metazoa; Arthropoda; Insecta; Diptera; Culicidae.
UCUCAAUUAGCGGCGUGCUGGGUUUCCAAUCCAGAGGUCGUGAGUUCGAUUCUCGUACCGGGAU